Molecule: ribosomal RNA, 154 nt
Filed under: Dolichousnea longissima
Lineage: Eukaryota; Fungi; Ascomycota; Lecanoromycetes; Lecanorales; Parmeliaceae
Description: 5.8S ribosomal RNA
Rfam family: 5.8S ribosomal RNA
About the family: 5.8S ribosomal RNA (5.8S rRNA) is a component of the large subunit of the eukaryotic ribosome. It is transcribed by RNA polymerase I as part of the 45S precursor that also contains 18S and 28S rRNA.
Source: RNAcentral
AACUUUCAACAACGGAUCUCUUGGUUCCAGCAUCGAUGAAAAACGCAGCGAAAUGCGAUAAGUAAUGUGAAUUGCAAAAUUCAGUGAAUCAUCGAAUCUUUGAACGCACAUUGCGCCCCUCGGCAUUCCGGGGGGCAUGCCUGUUCGAGCGUCA